RNAcentral lists this small RNA (91 nucleotides) under Ochromonas sp. CCMP1393. RNAcentral describes it as "partial Betaproteobacteria transfer-messenger RNA". Lineage: Eukaryota; Chrysophyceae; Chromulinales; Chromulinaceae. The record is from RNAcentral.
AAAGGCGAACGAACCGAGUUUCUGGAGGAGGCCCGGACGAUGGUUCAACUCCAUCAGCCCAACCUCGUCAACAUUUACGGCGUGUGCACCG